GAUGAAGAACGCAGCGAAAUGCGAUAAGUAAUGUGAAUUGCAGAAUUCAGUGAAUCAUCGAAUCUUUGAACGCACCUUGCGCUCCUUGGUAUUCCGAGGAGCAUGCCUGUUUGAGUGUCAUGAAAUUCUCAACCUUUCUGGCUUUUGCUAGUCAGGCUUGGAUUAUGGGAGCUGCUGGCUUUUGAAGUCGGCUCUUUUAAAAUGUAUUAGCAAGAUCAUUGCUGCUCAUCAUUGGUAUGAUAAUUAUCUAUAUCAUUGAGAGUCAGUUUCCUUUAUUGGAAGAUUUUGCUCCUAACGGUCUUUAGCAAGACAACAUUUGACGAUUUUGACCUCAAAUCAGGUAGGACUACCCGCUGAACUUAAGCAUAUCAAUAAGCGGAGGA
RNAcentral lists this unclassified non-coding RNA (383 nucleotides) under soil metagenome. RNAcentral's name for it is "partial contains 5.8S ribosomal RNA, internal transcribed spacer 2, and large subunit ribosomal RNA". The stretch from base 1 to 120 matches the Rfam family "5.8S ribosomal RNA", at positions 35 to 154 of the family's 154-position model. The record is from RNAcentral.